This 345-nucleotide unclassified non-coding RNA is filed under the name soil metagenome. RNAcentral's name for it is "partial contains 5.8S ribosomal RNA, internal transcribed spacer 2, and large subunit ribosomal RNA". The stretch from base 1 to 121 matches the Rfam family "5.8S ribosomal RNA", at positions 35 to 154 of the family's 154-position model. The record is from RNAcentral.
GAUGAAGAACGCAGCGAAAUGCGAUAAGUAAUGCGAAUUGCAGAAUUUCCGUGAGUCAUCGAAUCUUUGAACGCACAUUGCGCCCACUGGUAUUCCGGUGGGCAUGCCUGUUCGAGUGUCAUUAUCCUCCCUCAAACCCCGGGUUUGGUGUUGGACCCAAGUUGUGUGAACAACUGGUCUCAAAGACAAUGACGGCGUCCGUGGGACCCUCGGUGCAACGAGCUUUUAGGAGCACGCGCCGAGUUGCAAGGACCUUCCGGGCCGGUCUCCUUUACUAUUUUACAAGGUUGACCUCGGAUCAGGUAGGAAUACCCGCUGAACUUAAGCAUAUCAAUAAGCGGAGGA